AGUGAACGCUGGCGGUAGGCCUAACACAUGCAAGUCGAACGGCAGCACAGUAAGAGCUUGCUCUUACGGGUGGCGAGUGGCGGACGGGUGAGGAAUACAUCGGAAUCUACUUUUUCGUGGGGGAUAACGUAGGGAAACUUACGCUAAUACCGCAUACGACCUACGGGUGAAAGCAGGGGAUCUUCGGACCUUGCGCGAUUGAAUGAGCCGAUGUCGGAUUAGCUAGUUGGCGGGGUAAAGGCCCGCCAAGGCGACGAUCCGUAGCUGGUCUGAGAGGAUGAUCAGCCACACUGGAACUGAGACACGGUCCAGACUCCUACGGGAGGCAGCAGUGGGGAAUAUUGGACAAUGGGCGCAAGCCUGAUCCAGCCAUACGGCGUGGGUGAAGAAGGCCUUCGGGUUGUAAAGCCCUUUUGUUGGGAAAGAAAAGCAGCAGGUUAAUACCCCGCUGUUCUGACGGUACCCAAAGAAUAAGCACCGGCUAACUUCGUG
Molecule: ribosomal RNA, 492 nt
Filed under: uncultured bacterium
Lineage: Bacteria
Description: partial 16S ribosomal RNA
Rfam family: Bacterial small subunit ribosomal RNA
Source: RNAcentral